Molecule: long non-coding RNA, 1178 nt
Filed under: Homo sapiens (human)
Lineage: Eukaryota; Metazoa; Chordata; Mammalia; Primates; Hominidae
Description: HSALNT0256875
Source: RNAcentral
GCCCACCACACAACCUUGGGCAAAAGCCCUUGUGAGCCUCAGCUGUUUCAUUUGGAAAAGAGGGGGGAAAAUGAUUCCUAUGCCUUGAUCUUUCCUCUCUGGGGUUGCUUCCCUGGGAAAAUUUACAACUCAGCUCUCAUUUUAAUUAUCUGGUGAAAGCAUUUGACCCUGAGCAGGUCAUGUGCGGCCUGUGAGCCUCAGCUCCUCUGUGAAGUGCAGAAAAAUGCCGGCAGUUUAGGGAGACACCUGCCAUCCCAGGCAUGGCUGUGUCAUCGGCACCUCCCCCGAAGCCACUCUGUUCUAUGACUCACCCUUCAUCUUCAGGAUGGAGAGGGCUACAAAUGUUUCCAGAUACCAGCUCUUAUUUCCUCUAGGUGCUGGCCAGGGUUGGUGGAGAUCAAGUUCAGAACCAGGGAAUCCUGGGAGGGAGCAAGGCUGAAACCAACCUUAGAAAGGGCUCACAUUUCAGGGCUGCACAAGCCCCUGCUAAGUGUGUGAUCCACAAGUUUCAAAUGGGGAGGAUGUGACGGGAAAUCACUAGCCCAAGGCCAUCAUCAAACUCCUGAUAUUCUCACGAUAUGCCUACCUGGACCUCCUCUCCCAUACCUCCCACCUGUGGUUUGCUUCCUGGCAACUUCCAGGAUCUGGCCUCCAUUCUGCCCUCCAGAGAAGAGGGGGAAGCUGAGGUCAGUUGAACAUCAAUUGGGUGCCAGGUCCCCACUGGGCUUUCUCCAAUACCAUCUCCCCACCUCACUUCCAGGUGGACGUGACAGUGCCCACUUAGCAGAUAAGAAAACUGAGCCUAUGGUGGAGAAUAUUCCUUGGUGGAAGGACCCAGGGCUGAGUUUGAAUCCCUGCUCUUUUUAACGAGCCCAAGCCCAUCCCUGGCUGGAGGGAGACAUCCUGAACACAGCAGUGACAACAACCAAGCCUGGCUGGGGUCAGAGUGGCCUCAUUCACCUCCCAAGGCUCAGAUAAGUCAGGCCACUUCACCAAGAGCCUACAGUAGCAGAGGCGUGGCCUGAACACACUCGCACCAUCCUUGCAGCAGGCUCCACCUCAGCCCAGGUCUCGAUGUCAUCAAGGAGGACAGCAAAAGCUACUUAAGAGAAGGCCAGGGCCGGGUGCGGUGGCUCACGCCUGUAAUCCUAGCACUUUGGGAGGCCGAGGCGGGCGGA